GACGAACGCUGGCGGCGUGCUUAACACAUGCAAGUCGAACGGAAAGGCCCUGCUUUUGUGGGGUUCUCGAGUGGCGAACGGGGGAGUAACACGUGAGUAACCUGCCCUUGACUUUGGGAUAACUUCAGGAAACUGGGGCUAAUACCGGAUAGGAGCUCCUGCUGCAUGGUGGGGGUUGGUAAGAUUCGGCGGUUGGGGAUGGACUCGCUGCUUACCAGCUUGUUGGUGGGGUAGUGGCUUACCAAGGCUUUGAAGGGUAGGCGGCCUGAGAGGGCGACCGGCCACAUUGGGACUGAGAUACGGCCCAGAAUCCUACGGGAGGCAGCAGUGGGGAAUAUUGCACAAUGGGCGGAAGUCUGAUGCAGCAACGCCGCGUGCGUGAUGACGGCCUUCGGGUUGUAAACCGCUUUCGCCUGUGACGAAGCGUGAGUGACGGUAAUGGGUAAAGAAGCACCGGCUAACUACGUG
This 468-nucleotide ribosomal RNA is filed under the name uncultured bacterium. Its description in RNAcentral is "partial 16S ribosomal RNA". It matches the Rfam family "Bacterial small subunit ribosomal RNA", at positions 28 to 507 of the family's 1533-position model. The record is from RNAcentral.